This 346-nucleotide long non-coding RNA is filed under the name Phoenix dactylifera (date palm). Its description in RNAcentral is "long non-coding RNA (PDAC_LNC012137)". Lineage: Eukaryota; Viridiplantae; Streptophyta; Magnoliopsida; Arecales; Arecaceae. The record is from RNAcentral.
CAAAAGCAGAUAAAUAACAAUAUAAACUGAAGAGAGGUUAGAAGCCCUCAAACACGUUUGAGUUGGAGUUGAGUAGGGCUUCUUGAGCUUCGGGUCUCCUCUUGAAUGUCUGGUCGACUUGAAUGCAGGAGGAGGCUUCUUUAAAUACUGGGAAGAGGAAGUUGGAUGGAGUUAAUGCCGCUCUUCCCUCUUUUCGUUGAAAACCAACUUGCAGAGAAUGAAAGCUUGAUCUCUUUGAAUGAAAUGGUGCUUCUCUACCUUGCUACAGUCCUCUGUGGCUAUUUAAACCAUCCCCCACAGAAACUAGCCGUUAGAGACCUUUUUCUGCCCGUUCUGCACACUCUGC